AAUGAACGCUGGCGGCAUGCCUUACACAUGCAAGUCGAACGGCAGCAUGACCUAGCUUGCUAGGUUGAUGGCGAGUGGCGAACGGGUGAGUAAUGCAUCGGAACGUGCCUUUUAGUGGGGGAUAACGUAGCGAAAGUUACGCUAAUACCGCAUAUUCUCUGAGGAGGAAGGCAGGGGACCUUCGGGCCUUGCGCUAGAAGAGCGGCCGAUGUCGGAUUAGCUAGUUGGUGAGGUAAAGGCUCACCAAGGCAACGAUCCGUAGCGGGUCUGAGAGGAUGAUCCGCCACACUGGGACUGAGACACGGCCCAGACUCCUACGGGAGGCAGCAGUGGGGAAUUUUGGACAAUGGGCGCAAGCCUGAUCCAGCCAUGCCGCGUGAGUGAAGAAGGCCUUCGGGUUGUAAAGCUCUUUCGGCUGGGAAGAAAUCGCACCCUCUAAUACAGGGUGUGGAUGACGGUACCAGCAUAAGAAGCACCGGCUAACUACGUG
This 490-nucleotide ribosomal RNA is filed under the name uncultured bacterium. RNAcentral describes it as "partial 16S ribosomal RNA". It matches the Rfam family "Bacterial small subunit ribosomal RNA", at positions 29 to 507 of the family's 1533-position model. The record is from RNAcentral.